RNAcentral lists this ribosomal RNA (443 nucleotides) under uncultured bacterium. RNAcentral describes it as "partial 16S ribosomal RNA". It matches the Rfam family "Bacterial small subunit ribosomal RNA", at positions 338 to 795 of the family's 1533-position model. The record is from RNAcentral.
CCUACGGGAGGCUGCAGUGGGGAAUAUUGGACAAUGGGGGGAACCCUGAUCCAGCGACGCCGCGUGAGUGAAGAAGUAUUUCGGUAUGUAAAGCUCUAUCAGCAGGGAAGAAAGAAAUGACGGUACCUGACUAAGAAGCCUCGGCGAACUACGUGCCAGCACCCGCGGUAAUACGUAGGGGGCAAGCGUUAUCCGGAUUUACUGGGUGUAAAGGGAGCGUAGACGGCGAUGCAAGUCUGAAGUGAAAGGCCGGGGCCCAACCCCCGGACUGCUUUUGAAACUGUAUGGCUGGAGUGGAGGAGAGGUAAGUGGAAUUCGUGGUGUAGCGGUGAAAUGCAUAGAUAUUAGGAGGAACACCGGUGGCGAAGGCAGCUUACUGGACUGUAACUGACGUUGAGGCACGAAAGCGUGGGGAGCAAACAGGAUUAGAUACCCCAGUAGUC